Molecule: ribosomal RNA, 497 nt
Filed under: uncultured bacterium
Lineage: Bacteria
Description: partial 16S ribosomal RNA
Rfam family: Bacterial small subunit ribosomal RNA
Source: RNAcentral
GACGAACGCUGGCGGCGUGCCUAAUACAUGCAAGUUGAGCGCUGAAGGUUGGUACUUGUACCCACUGGAUGAGCAGCGAACGGGUGAGUAACGCGUGGGGAAUCUGCCUUUGAGCGGGGGACAACAUUUGGAAACGAAUGCUAAUACCGCAUAAAAACUUUAAACACAAGUUUUAAGUUUGAAAGAUGCAAUUGCAUCACUCAAAGAUGAUCCCGCGUUGUAUUAGCUAGUUGGUGAGGUAAAGGCUCACCAAGGCGAUGAUACAUAGCCGACCUGAGAGGGUGAUCGGCCACAUUGGGACUGAGACACGGCCCAAACUCCUACGGGAGGCAGCAGUAGGGAAUCUUCGGCAAUAGACGAAAGUCUGACCGAGCAACGCCGCGUGAGUGAAGAAGGUUUUCGGAUCGUAAAACUCUGUUGGUAGAGAAGACCGUUGGUGAGAGUGGAAAGCUCAUCAAGUGACGGUAACUACCCAGAAAGGGACGGCUAACUACGUG